UACAGAGGUCCCGAGCGUUGUUCGGAAUUACUGGGCGUAAAGGGCUCGUAGGUGGCCAACUAAGUCAGACGUGAAAUCCCUCGGCUUAACCGGGGAACUGCGUCUGAUACUGGAUGGCUUGAGUUUGGGAGAGGGAUGCGGAAUUCCAGGUGUAGCGGUGAAAUGCGUAGAUAUCUGGAGGAACACCGGUGGCGAAGGCGGCAUCCUGGACCAACACUGACACUGAGGAGCGAAAGCCAGGGGAGCAAACGGG
Molecule: ribosomal RNA, 253 nt
Filed under: uncultured bacterium
Lineage: Bacteria
Description: partial 16S ribosomal RNA
Rfam family: Bacterial small subunit ribosomal RNA
Source: RNAcentral